AGUGAACGCUGGCGGUAGGCCUAACACAUGCAAGUCGAACGGCAGCACAGUAAGAGCUUGCUCUUACGGGUGGCGAGUGGCGGACGGGUGAGGAAUACAUCGGACUCUACUUUUUCGUGAGGGAUAACGUAGGGAAACUUACGCUAAUACCGCAUACGACCUACGGGUGAAAGCAGGGGAUCUUCGGACCUUGCGCGAUUGAAUGCGCCGAUGUCGGAUUAGCUAGUUGGCGGGGUAAAGGCCCACCAAGGCGACGAUCCGAAGCUGGGCUGAGAGGAUGAUCAGCCACACUGGAACUGAGGAACGGUCCCGACGCCUACGGGAGGCAGCAGUGGGGAAUAUAGGACAAUGGGCGCAAGCCUGAUCCAGCCAUACCGCGUGGGUGAAGAAGGCAUUCGGGUUGUAAAGCCCUUUUGUUGGGAAAGAAAAGCAGCAGGUUAAUACCCCGCUGUUCUGACGGUACCCAAAGAAUAAGCACCGGCUAACUUCGUG
Molecule: ribosomal RNA, 492 nt
Filed under: uncultured bacterium
Lineage: Bacteria
Description: partial 16S ribosomal RNA
Rfam family: Bacterial small subunit ribosomal RNA
Source: RNAcentral